This 967-nucleotide long non-coding RNA is filed under the name Zostera marina. RNAcentral describes it as "long non-coding RNA (ZMAR_LNC003905)". The record is from RNAcentral. Lineage: Eukaryota; Viridiplantae; Streptophyta; Magnoliopsida; Alismatales; Zosteraceae.
UACGAUUUAACUAAUAAUAUAUUACAUAACCGUUACAAAAAGAAAUAAUAUAUUAUUUACGAGGUUAAUUUGUGUAAGGUUGUACCAAAGCAGGCUAAAUAGUAACCAAAGCAGAAUAGAAUCCAAGAAUAGCAACCAUGAACUGUAGGAAAAUAUUUGUACGAACAAUAAAUAGUUAAUUCUCGACCCAGAAAUGGUCUCUCAUGAUCAUGUGCUGCUGUGUAUAUAUAAACCCCAAGAACAUUAAAACCAGAAAUUAUUAGCAGGUCGAUUGAUUUCUAACACUUGGGUUCCCCACAGAUCUUUAAUUACGAAUUUAAUUCGAAGAUUUGCAUUAACUCGUCCAGGAUCUUGCGGAAGGCAAAAAAAAAAAUGCAAAAUUAUAAAAAAUAUCUACCAAAGAGCAGCAGCAAGCAACAGCAGCAGAAAAGAUGACAGUUUACAGUGCAGUGCAAGUUGUGUUCGAAAUAAAAACCAGCUGGCAGAACCUACUAUCCUUCAUCAUCGUUAAUAAUAAUGAUAAUACCAGGACCAUUAGACAUUAGUCCAUGCCUCCUCCAUAUUCAAAUCACAAACUAUUUCCUGCUUUCAUGAAAUCAAACCAGACAAUUGCGUCGCAUAAUUACUAGCUUUCAUUCUGACUAGAUCUACAGAUAUAAAUGGUAUUGAAGUAUAUGUAUAAUGGUCCUCAAAUUCUCAAAGAUUUAAAUAUAACGGUUGGUUGCCAAACAUCAAAAGAAAAAAAGUCAAGCUGAAGGCUAAUGUGUGGAUUAAUUGAAUUAGAGUAGAAAAAGAUUUGGCAUGAGUGCAUGCAUGCAGGACUGAAAUUAGACAUGAGGGAAAAGUGAAGAGAGUUAGGUCAGAUACUCUGAUACCAGAAACCCAAUCUUCAGCAAACCAAUAAUGUGAGACAUAGAACAAGGAUGUGUUACGUAUCUUUCUAACCUAGAAACUCUUCCCAACAAAU